RNAcentral lists this ribosomal RNA (593 nucleotides) under Candidatus Naiadarchaeales archaeon SRR2090153.bin1042. RNAcentral's name for it is "bacterial SSU rRNA". It matches the Rfam family "Archaeal small subunit ribosomal RNA", at positions 885 to 1478 of the family's 1478-position model. Lineage: Archaea; Nanobdellati; Candidatus Undinarchaeota; Candidatus Undinarchaeia; Candidatus Naiadarchaeales. The record is from RNAcentral.
GGGGUGGAGUCUGCGGUUCAAUUGGAUUCAACGCCGGAAAUCUCACCGGGGGCGACAGCAGAGUGAAGGUCAAGCUGAUGACUUUACUAGACUUGCUGAGAGGUGGUGCAUGGCCGUCGUCAGCUCGUGCCCUAAGGCGUUCGGUUAAGUCCGACAACGAGCGAGACCCAUGUUGCCAGUUGCAAUUUUCUCUUCCGAGAGGAAAGCACUCUGGCGAGACCGCUGCUGAUGAAGCAGAGGAAGGAGUGGGCAACGGUAGGUCAGUAUGCCCCGAAUCCCCCGGGCUACACGCGGACUACAAUGCGCGGAACAAUGGGCUGCAACACCGAGAGGUGAAGCCAAUCCUUAAAUCCGCGCUUAAUUCGGAUCGAGCCUUGUAACCCAGGCUCGUGAAGCCGGAAUCCCUAGUAAUCGCGUUUCACUAUGACGCGGUGAAUAUGUCCCUGCUCCUUGUACACACCGCCCGUCAAAUCACCUGAGUCGGGUUUAAGUAAUGCUCUCGUUCUUGCGAGAGUUGAACUCAAGCUCGGCAAGGGGGGUUAAGUCGUAACAAGGUAUCCGUAGGGGAACCUGCGGAUAGAUCACCUCCUAAG